CCAAAGGCUCUUUUCAGAGCCGCCCACUUGGUUCCAACAAAGAGCUGU
Non-coding RNA from Meleagris gallopavo (turkey), 48 nucleotides. The record is from Rfam. Lineage: Eukaryota; Metazoa; Chordata; Aves; Galliformes; Phasianidae.